ACCUUCGUGGUGCAACGGUAGCACACUCGGCGCGUAUUCGAGAGAUCCAGGUUCGAGUCUCAGCGAGGGCA
RNAcentral lists this transfer RNA (71 nucleotides) under Stegodyphus mimosarum. It matches the Rfam family "tRNA". Rfam says of the family: Transfer RNA (tRNA) molecules are approximately 80 nucleotides in length. Their secondary structure includes four short double-helical elements and three loops (D, anti-codon, and T loops). The record is from Rfam by way of RNAcentral. Lineage: Eukaryota; Metazoa; Arthropoda; Arachnida; Araneae; Eresidae.